This 554-nucleotide long non-coding RNA is filed under the name Heterocephalus glaber (naked mole-rat). Its description in RNAcentral is "lncRNA (ENSHGLG00000034831.1)". The record is from RNAcentral. Lineage: Eukaryota; Metazoa; Chordata; Mammalia; Rodentia; Bathyergidae.
CUGGCAACGGCUGACAAUUAAAGGCAGCGGAUUGGACAGUGGGGAGGACACAGAAUUCCAAGGAGCCCCUCCCUUCCAGCUGCCAGGGCUGUGCUCAUACACGAGCCCCCCCCCCCCCAGGGGCUUCAGAAAGUCCCCACCGUCAUAUGAGGACCUCCCACUCACUCAUCCACCACCCCCAAAGCCUGUGCACCCUCGGGCUCAUCCCAACAACCACUUUCCCCCAAAAAUUCACUGGGGACUGGAACAAAACACGGCCCAUCAGAAGCUGUUACUGGACACCACUGAUAGACACGUGGUAGCUAACCGAGAGCUGCUGACCGGCUGAAUCCCAUGAGCACAACGCGCACCUGUACUUUCUCAGCACCCAUCCCCACCUAGGUAUCAUGAGCCUGCACCUUCUGCAGAGAUGCUCUGCUCACAUGGCCAACACUUUCCAGGUUAGUGGUCAGACUUCCUGAUUCGGGGGGCAACAGGUGUGAUCCUGGACCACAGAGCAUCCAUGUCCAAGGGAAGGACAGGGGACUGGAUCAACACUGGAGAAGGAGGCCACC